GGAUUAUGGCUCAGUGGUAGAGUGCUUGCCUAGCAUGACGAGGCACUGGGUUCAAUCCCCAGCACCA
This 67-nucleotide transfer RNA is filed under the name Marmota monax (woodchuck). Its description in RNAcentral is "tRNA.Ala". The record is from RNAcentral. Lineage: Eukaryota; Metazoa; Chordata; Mammalia; Rodentia; Sciuridae.